RNAcentral lists this long non-coding RNA (1353 nucleotides) under Anolis carolinensis (green anole). RNAcentral's name for it is "lncRNA (ENSACAG00000037928.1)". The record is from RNAcentral. Lineage: Eukaryota; Metazoa; Chordata; Lepidosauria; Squamata; Anolidae.
AUGCCUGUCAUAAGAUAUACUGCUGGCAUUAUAAACUGGACACAGAUGGAACUGGACAAUUUGGACAGAAAAACAAGAAAACUCAUGACCAUUCAUCAUUCACUGCACCCUCGCAGUGAUGUUGACCGGCUGUAUCUGCCUAGAAGAUCAGGGGGCAGAGGACUCUUACAAGUCAAACAAGCCGUCAAAGAAGAAGAACAUGCCCUGGCAGAAUAUGUAAAGCAAAGUGAAGAACCUGCUCUGAUUGAAGUAAAAAAUCAGAAACUCCUCAAAGCUCAGCAGACAAAGAAUCAGUACAAGAAAACCGCACUACAAACUAGAGCUGACAGCUGGCACAACAAAACAUUGCAUGGAAAGUUCCUUGACAAAAUUGAAGGAAAAGCUGAUAAGGAGAAGACCUGGCUCUGGCUCACGAAUGGGACCCUGAAGAAGGAGACAGAAGGCCUGAUCCUUGCAGCCCAGGAGCAAGACAUCAGGACAAAGGCAAUUCAGGCCAAGAUCGAAAAAUCAGACCCAAAAUGCAGACUGUGCAAGGAAACCGACGAAACCAUUGAUCAUAUCCUCAGCUGCUGUAAGAAAAUCGCACAGACAGACUACAAACAGAGGCACAACUAUGUGGCCCAAAUGAUUCAUUGGAACUUAUGCCUCAAGUACCACCUCCCAGCAGCAAAGAACUGGUGGGAUCACAAACCUGCCAAAGUAUUGGAAAAUGAGCACGCAAAGAUACUGUGGGACUUCCGAAUCCAGACUGACAAAGUUCUGGAACACAAUACACCAGACAUCACAGUUGUGGAAAAGAACAAGGUUUGGAUCAUUGAUGUCGCCAUCCCAGGUGACAGUCGCAUGGACGAAAAACAACAGGAAAAACUCAGCCGCUAUCAGGACCUCAAGAUUGAACUGCAAAGACUCUGGCAGAAACCAGUGCAGGUGGUCCCGGUGGUGAUGGGCACACUGGGUGCCGUGCCAAAAGAUCUCAGCCGGCAUUUGGAAACAAUAGGCACACAUCAUCCGAAAAUACAUCACACAGUCCUAGACACUUGGGAAGUGUUCGACUUAUCCGAAAAUACAUCACACAGUCCUAGACACUUGGGAAGUGUUCGACUUGUGGUUUUGCGAAAUGAAAUCCAGCAUAUCUAUCUUGUUUGCUGUGCCAUACAAUGUCGUUGUGUUGAUAAUAAUAAUAAUAAUAAUAAUAAUAAUAAUAAUAAUAAUAACAGUGAUAGUAACAGAAGAAAUUGGGCUCCUACAACCAAGGCAGCCCCAAAGAAAAUCGACUGGAAAACCAAAGUGGAAGGUCAGGCUAGAGUUGAAAAUCAAGAAACUUAGAUCAGACACAAGUAACCUGAAAAAUAU